GGAUCUUCUGUCAGUUUGCAGCAGGGCUCUCCAAACUCCAAGCAGAAAUCCCACUUAACACUCGGGUUUCCAGGGGAGUUGGAAACCUGAACUCCCUGAACCUGCCUGAAUCUGGCACAGGGACUCAGUGAUAUCGAGAGGAGACUGGUCUGACCCCAAAACAACCACUGUGGCUUCAGGUUGAUCUUUGGGAUGCUGGAUUAGCACAUACACAGUACCACUGGUCUUUCCAGCAAGACGAUAAGGAUGCUUACUGGGCAAAAGGGACAACCUGAGAGCCACUUGCCACUCAGAACACAUCUCCCUGUGUUGUGUUAAGUCUCAUUACGUACAUCCCUGGUGGAACGCACCUCUAGUGCCAUCUUUAUUGGCUGCAUUCAUUCAACAGGUCCGCAUGUGUGGUCAGUCUGAAUGCCUUAUCUCUUCUAGUCUAGAUGCACACCCCAGGGUGUUUAUAAACUGGAACAUUCCUGUCAUCAGCAACCUUUCUGUUGUGCCCAACAUACUAUAAUCUACAUUUCUUGUGAACAUUUAAAUUACAUGUGGAAGAUUAAAUUACCAACACGAUUUAUUUCAGGGAUGAUUCAGUAGCACCGCUCCUGCUAUGCCCUAGGGUGCUUUAUCUCCUGGGACUCAACGGUUGUCCCAAAUUACUGACUUGUCACUGAACUUGCCCUGGAAAGAACUCCUAAACUCCAGCUUGCUGGUAGAAUGUAGUAUGUGAUCUGAAUGCAGCAGGAUUAUCUGCGGCAAGUACCCUGAGGCUCCGCCCUCUCCCCUCUGAGAAGGACAGCACUGCGCUCCCUAAGCAAGUCCACCCAGGCAAUUCCACAUACAUUUACAAGAACAAUUCUACUUCAGUUAGCUAGCAGGGAUUUGGUACUUACAAAGUGUUAUUUAAGUACAUUAAACAGUAUUACAUCACAUAUAUUUCAGUAACUUUUGAGCAAAACAUCCAUGCCUUUUGGAAACAUAAUAACACAUGAAAAAAUACACUCCAAGUUUUAUAAAGUGCAUUUAUACACAAAGAUGGCAGCUGUGCCCUAUAGAAGGAUUUUAAAUGGUGCACAACAAUCAGAAGAAAAUUAAUGACGGGAGGUGGUCACAUGUUCAGCAGAAACACAAACAAACGAGACAAACGAGAUAUAUUUUAAGCAUUAAAACCAGUUCUGUCAA
This is a long non-coding RNA of Rattus norvegicus (Norway rat), 1176 nucleotides long. RefSeq lists it as uncharacterized. Lineage: Eukaryota; Metazoa; Chordata; Mammalia; Rodentia; Muridae. The record is from RefSeq and is a predicted model, not a curated record.